Gasterosteus aculeatus aculeatus (three-spined stickleback) is the source of this 448-nucleotide long non-coding RNA. The record is from Ensembl. Lineage: Eukaryota; Metazoa; Chordata; Actinopteri; Perciformes; Gasterosteidae.
CGCUCGGAGCAGCUGGAAGCCCGCCAGCUGGAGCGCGGAGUCCGUGACGAAAGGUGAGCGCACCUUUGACUAGAAUGUGCAGUAAUUCCACGGAAGAAAGCAGGAAAGUUGGAAGUAACUCCACUGGAGUUGUUCAUCGGAUGUUCAAGAGCUCAUCUCUGGUGAAAGAGCUCCGGGAAUCGCAGCAGGAAACAUAAUUAACAACAAAAACAACAACAAACGAAGCGCACCGAAGCACCGUGGCGGCCAUCAACGGCGCCAACGUGCAUGAAAACAACGUUCUGCCUGAGUGGAAUACGGACUGCAGCCCAUCACACCAGUUUAACAUGAAGAUGAGAAGGACGAGCACCCUGGACAGCGCCUCAAGAGAUCAGCACCAAGGUCUGGGGCACCGACGAGCCAGAGGUCAGGAAGGGGACUGAAGGCCGAACAGCCUGUUGAACCGAGC